UGUGAUCAAGCUACUAAGGGCAAACGGUGAAUGCCUUGGUGCCAAGAGGCGAUGAAGGACGUAGCAAGUUGCGAUAAGCCGCGGGAAGCCGCAAGCAGGCGUUGAUCCGCGGAUUUCCGAAUAGGACAACCUAAUCCUGAUAACUCGGGAUUAUCACUGGAUGAAUUCAUAGUCCGGUGAAGCGAUACGGGGUGAAGUGAAACAUCUCAGUAACCCCAGGAAAAGAAAACGAAGCGAUUCCGUCAGUAGUGGCGAGCGAACUCGGAACAGCCUAAACCGGGAAGACUUGUCUUCCCGGGGUAGCGGGACCUUGAUGUGAGAAGUGGAGAGUUAGUGUAACGAUCUGGAAAGUUCGGCCGUAGACCGUGACAGCCGGGUGCGCGAAAGCUCAAAGCUCUCUAGAGGUUUCCCAAGUAGCACGGUGCACGUGAAACUCUGUGCGAAUCCGUCCGGACCACCGGAUAAGGCUAAAUACUCCUUGGCAACCGAUAGUGAACAAGUACCGCGAGGGAAAGGUGAAAAGAACCCCUGCUAGGGGAGUGAAAGAGUACCUGAAACCAUUUGCCUACAAUGUGUCGGAGCUCCGAAGAAAUUCGGAGUGACGGCCUGCCUUUUGCAUAAUGAGUCUGCGAGUUAUUGUCUGUGGCAAGCCUAAGUCCUUUUGGGACGGAGGCGAAGGGAAACCGAGUACGAAACGUGCGUUCAGUUGCAGGCAAUAGACCCGAAGCGGAGGUGAUCUACUCUUGAGCAGGUUGAAGCCUGGGUAACACCAGGUGAAGGACCGAACUCGUGGAUGUUGAAAAAUCCUGAGAUGACUUGAGAGUAGGAGCGAAAGACUAAUCAAACCCCGUGAUAGCUGGUUCUCUCCGAAAUAGCUUGAGGGCUAGCGUUGGGUCAGUACUCCGAGGAGGUAGAGCACUGGAUGGCUUAGGGACCCCACCAGGUUACCAAAACCAACCAAACUCCGAAUACCUCGGAUCCCAGUAACCCAGCAUUCAGACGGCGGGGGAUAAGCUUCGUCGUCGAGAGGGCAACAGCCCAGAUCGCCAGCUAAGGUGCCUAAAUGUGAUUAAGUGGAAAGGAUGUGACGUUGCUUAGACAGUGAGGAUGUUGGCUUAGAGGCAGCCAUCAUUUAAACAGUGCGUAAUAGCUGACUCAUCGAGCGAUGUCGCGCCGAAAAUGAUUGGCGAUUAAAUCACAUACCGAAGCUGCGGAUUCCUGUGCGGUUCGCCGUCCAGGAGUGGUAGGAGAGCGUCAUGAACACAUUGAAGCCGGACUGUAAAGGACGGUCGAGUGCUCAUGAGUGAGAAUGCAGACAUGAGUAGCGAUAAACCAGAUGAGAAUUCUGGUCGCCGUAAACCUAAGGUUUCCUGGGGCAGGUUCGUCCUCCCAGGGUUAGUCGGGAGCUAAGAUGAGGCCGUAAGGCGUAAUCGAUGCACAGCAGAUUAAUAUUCCUGCACCGGCUAGGGUUAAGGUAAGGAGUCACGCAGAGAGAAAAGUGAUUAUCUGAUUGAAUUGGGAGCUUAGCCUUCGGGCGAAGCGAGUCACUGGACGAUCUGCCUAGAAAAGCUUCUUAUCGUUCCCCUGGUCGCCCGUACCGUAAACCGACACAGGUGGGUGAGUCGAAUAGACUAAGGCGCGCGAGAGAAACCUCUCUAAGGAACUCGGCACAUUAGCCCCGUAACUUCGGGAUAAGGGGUGCCUGAAGCCGCUGCAGCGAUGUGGCGGUGUAAGGUCUCAGUAAAUUGCGUUUAGCGACUGUUUAACAAAAACACAGCACUCUGCUAAGUCGUGAAGACGACGUAUAGGGUGUGACACGUGACCAAUGCGGAAAGAUCAAGGUGACUUGUUAGCCGUAAGGCGAAGCUCGUUGCCAAAGUCCCCGUGAAUGUCGGCCGUAACUAUAACGGUCCUAAGGUAGCGAAAUUCCUUGUCGGGUAAGUUCCGACCUGCACGAAUCGUGUAACGACUGAACGACUGUCUCGGAGAGGAUCUCGGCGAAAUUGUAACGGCGGUGAAGAUGCCGCCUGCCCGCAGUAGGACGGAAAGACCCUAUGCACCUUUACUGUAAGCUGGUAUUGUGUUCUGGUUAAUGAUGCGUAGCGUAGGUGGGAGACUUCGAAGCGAGGGCUUCGGUUCUCGUGGAGUCGAAAUGUGAAACACCACUCUUUGUUAAUUAGGAUUCUAACCCCGACCUGUUAGCCAGGCGGGGGACAGUGCUUGCGGGUCAGUUUGACUGGGGCGGUUUCCUCCCAAAGAGUAACGGAGGAGCGCGAAGCUUGGCUCAGCACGGUUGGCAACCGUGCGACGAGGGUAUGGCUAGAAGCCAGGUUAACUGCGAGACCAACAAGUCGAGCAGGUGCGAAAGCAGGCCCAAAUGAUCCGGUGGUAGAAUGUGGAAUUGCCAUCGCUCAACGGACAAAAGGUACGCUAGGGAUAACAGGCUGAUCGAGUCCAAGAGUUCAUAUCGACGACUCGGUUUGGCACCUCGAUGUCGGCUCAUCGCAUCCUGGGGCUGGAGAAGGUCCCAAGGGUCCGGCUGUUCGCCGGUUAAAGCGGUACGCGAGCUGGGUUCAGAACGUCGUGAGACAGUUCGGUCCUUAUCCACUGUGGGCGCAGGAAACUUGAGGGGUUCAUUCUUUAGUACGAGAGGACCGAGAAUGACGCACUUCUGGUGUGGCAGUUGUUCCGUCAGGGGCAUCGCUGCGUAGCCAUGUGCGGAAGAGAUAAGCGCUGAAAGCAUCUAAGUGCCAAGCUCAUCCCAAGAUAUGGUUUCCCGGACCGUGAGGUUCCUGAAGACCCCCGGAAGACUACCGGGUUGAUAGGCUGGACGUGUACGAGCCGUAAGGCUUUUAGCCGACCAGUACUAAUCGGUCGUGAGGCUUGAUCGCU
RNAcentral lists this ribosomal RNA (2892 nucleotides) under Verrucomicrobiota bacterium. RNAcentral describes it as "Verrucomicrobia bacterium (freshwater metagenome) 23S ribosomal RNA". It matches the Rfam family "Bacterial large subunit ribosomal RNA". Lineage: Bacteria; Pseudomonadati; Verrucomicrobiota. The record is from RNAcentral.